CCGGAAACAGAAUUGAUUAGUUCACCUCUGGAGUCUUUGGUUCACUUCACAGCCCCACUGCCUUCAGAAUAUGGGGCAGUCACAUGAUGAACGAAUGCCUCGAACCUGAAGACUUGAGACGCGAACUAAUCAAAUGUAACGUGACAAAAGAAGAACGACUCGGAUCGGGAGAGUGUGACGUUGGGCUGUGGAGACUGUGCAUGUGCGAUGUGCCGCUUGCUCUCAGUGCGGUGUGCCGUCAGGGCUCUCAUCUGUGUAGCAUGGCAGUUUAACGUAGCCCCGGUCGGAGCGCCAGCUGCUGCUGUCACAACUAUUAAAGAAGCUAUCAUAUGAUUUUCGUAUGUGCAGUCGAGCUGAGUGCUUCCAGAGGCUGGGGGAGGUCCUUUGAGGCACCUUGGGCUUUACUUAAUUAAGGGUCGUUAUUAUUGCUGUGUUUUAUUUGCAGUGAAUUUUGUGGGUAUGAUUCUGAUUAGUGGGGUGCUUUUCCCUUUUGUACAGCUGGUGCUGUCGUGCUAGCCUGCCCUUCAUACAGGAAGCCUCAGUCCUCCUAUGAUUAUUGUUCAUUUUCUCUUGUGACUGCUUUAUUUGACCAACACCUGACUGUGUUGGCUGCUUUUUAAAAAAAU
Molecule: long non-coding RNA, 626 nt
Organism: Ictalurus punctatus (channel catfish)
Lineage: Eukaryota; Metazoa; Chordata; Actinopteri; Siluriformes; Ictaluridae
Source: Ensembl